This 450-nucleotide ribosomal RNA is filed under the name uncultured bacterium. RNAcentral describes it as "partial 16S ribosomal RNA". It matches the Rfam family "Bacterial small subunit ribosomal RNA", at positions 354 to 796 of the family's 1533-position model. The record is from RNAcentral.
GUGGGGAAUAUUGGACAAUGGGCGAAAGCCUGAUCCAGCCAUGCCGCGUGUGUGAAGAAGGUCUUCGGAUUGUAAAGCACUUUAAGUUGGGAGGAAGGGCAGUAAGUUAAUACCUUGCUGUUUUGACGUUACCGACAGAAUAAGCACCGGCUAACUUCGUGCCAGCAGCCGCGGUAAUACGAAGGGUGGAAGCGUUAAUCGGAAUUACUGGGCGUAAAGCGCGCGUAGGUGGUUUUGUAAGUUGGAGGUGAAAUCCCCGGGCUCAACCUGGGAACUGCCUCCAAAACUGCAUGACUAGAGUACGGUAGAGGGUAGUGGAAUUUCCUGUGUAGCGGUGAAAUGCGUAGAUAUAGGAAGGAACACCAGUGGCGAAGGCGACUACCUGGACUGAUACUGACACUGAGGUGCGAAAGCGUGGGGAGCAAACAGGAUUAGAUACCCGGGUAGUCC